RNAcentral lists this ribosomal RNA (435 nucleotides) under uncultured eukaryote. RNAcentral's name for it is "partial Bacterial large subunit ribosomal RNA". It matches the Rfam family "Bacterial large subunit ribosomal RNA", at positions 1956 to 2390 of the family's 2925-position model. The record is from RNAcentral.
GUAGCGAAAUUCCUUGUCGGGUAAGUUCCGACCUGCACGAAUGGCGUAACGACUUCCCCGCUGUCUCCAACAUAGACUCAGUGAAAUUGAAUUCCCCGUGAAGAUGCGGGGUUCCUGCGGUCAGACGGAAAGACCCCGUGCACCUUUACUAUAGCUUCACACUGGCAUUCGCCAAGGCAUGUGUAGGAUAGGUGGUAGGCUUUGAAACUCUCACGCCAGUGGGGGUGGAGCCAUCCUUGAAAUACCACCCUUAUCUUCGUGGAUGUCUAACUGCGGUCCGUUAUCCGGAUCCAGGACAGUGUGUGGUGGGUAGUUUGACUGGGGCGGUCUCCUCCUAAAGAGUAACGGAGGAGCUCGAAGGUACGCUCAGCGCGGUCGGACAUCGCGCACUGUGUGCAAAGGCAUAAGCGUGCUUGACUGCAAGAUCGACGGAUC